This 27-nucleotide transfer RNA is filed under the name Crocidura beata (Mindanao shrew). Its description in RNAcentral is "partial tRNA-Thr". Lineage: Eukaryota; Metazoa; Chordata; Mammalia; Eulipotyphla; Soricidae. The record is from RNAcentral.
AUAGAGCCUUAGUAGUAUAACUAAUAC